GUGUUUGCAGGUGUUUGGCUCCC
Molecule: unclassified non-coding RNA, 23 nt
Filed under: Mus musculus (house mouse)
Lineage: Eukaryota; Metazoa; Chordata; Mammalia; Rodentia; Muridae
Description: oocyte_clustered_small_RNA5385
Source: RNAcentral